GACGAACGCUGGCGGCGUGCCUAAUACAUGCAAGUUGAGCGCUGAAGGCUGGUACUUGUACCAACUGGAUGAGCAGCGAACGGGUGAGUAACGCGUGGGGAAUCUGCCUUUGAGCGGGGGACAACAUUUGGAAACGAAUGCUAAUACCGCAUAAAAACUUUAAACACAAGAUUUAAGUUUGAAAGAUGCAAUUGCAUCACUCAAAGAUGAUCCCGCGUUGUAUUAGUUAGUUGGUGAGGUAAAGGCUCACCAAGGCGAUGAUACAUAGCCGACCUGAGAGGGUGAUCGGCCACAUUGGGACUGAGACACGGCCCAAAAUCCUACGGGAGGCAGCAGUAGGGAAUGUUCGGCAAUGGACGGAAGUCUGACCGCACAACGCCGCGGGAGUGAAGAAAGUGUUCGGAUCGUAAAACUCUGUUGGUAGAGAAGAACGUUGGUGAGAGUGAAAAGCUCAUCAAGUGACGGUAACUACCCAGAAAGGGACGGCUAACUACGUG
RNAcentral lists this ribosomal RNA (497 nucleotides) under uncultured bacterium. Its description in RNAcentral is "partial 16S ribosomal RNA". It matches the Rfam family "Bacterial small subunit ribosomal RNA", at positions 28 to 507 of the family's 1533-position model. The record is from RNAcentral.